UGGUCGACCAGUUGGAAAGUAA
This 22-nucleotide microRNA is filed under the name Pteropus alecto (black flying fox). Its description in RNAcentral is "pal-miR-412-5p". Its record names the gene pal-miR-412-5p. The record is from miRBase by way of RNAcentral. Lineage: Eukaryota; Metazoa; Chordata; Mammalia; Chiroptera; Pteropodidae.